UCCCUCAAAUGCUUGCUGCUGUAGACCAGCAGCUCGAGAUGGAGUGGGUGCAAGCACAGCUCGAAUGGAGGGGUGUACCAACAAAGGGUACAAGGUGACAGCGUUCAAACGAUGUCUGCUCCAGGGGACACCCAGUUUUUAGAGGAGGAGGAGGAAGAGGAACUUGACCUGCCCGACUGGUUUGGGGACCUUGUUGAAUGUGGCAAUGAGUUGCUCAAAUCAUGGAGCCAGAGCGGAGAAGGGGCGGGAAUCCAGGGCGCACAGCCACAAAGACAAGCGGCGACUUGUCUAGCCCC
This is a long non-coding RNA of Schistocerca americana (American grasshopper), 296 nucleotides long. RefSeq lists it as uncharacterized. Lineage: Eukaryota; Metazoa; Arthropoda; Insecta; Orthoptera; Acrididae. The record is from RefSeq and is a predicted model, not a curated record. The transcript has 3 exons.